Molecule: ribosomal RNA, 498 nt
Filed under: uncultured bacterium
Lineage: Bacteria
Description: bacterial SSU rRNA
Rfam family: Bacterial small subunit ribosomal RNA
Source: RNAcentral
GCCUGACGCAGCGACGCCGCGUGCGGGAAGAAGGCCUUCGGGUUGUAAACCGCUUUCAGGAGGGACGAAGCCACUCGGGUGAAUAGCCCAGAGGGUGACGGUACCUCCAGAAGAAGCCCCGGCUAACUACGUGCCAGCAGCCGCGGUAAUACGUAGGGGGCAAGCGUUGUCCGGAUUUAUUGGGCGUAAAGAGCGUGUAGGCGGCCAGGCAGGUCCGCUGUGAAAACUCGAGGCUCAACCUCGAGACGUCGGUGGAAACCGCCUGGCUAGAGUCCGGAAGAGGAGAAUGGAAUUCCUGGUGUAGCGGUGAAAUGCGCAGAUAUCAGGAAGAACACCCGUGGCGAAGGCGGUUCUCUGGGACGGUACUGACGCUGAGACGCGAAAGCGUGGGGAGCGAACAGGAUUAGAUACCCUGGUAGUCCACGCCGUAAACGAUGAAUGCUAGCCGUCAGCAGGCUUGCCUGUUGGUGGCGCACCUAACGGAUUAAGCAUUCCGCC